UGGGGAAUAUUGCACAAUGGGCGAAAGCCUGAUGCAGCGACGCCGCGUGAGGGAUGACGGCCUUCGGGUUGUAAACCUCUUUCAGCAGGGAAGAAGCGCAAGUGACGGUACCUGCAGAAGAAGCGCCGGCUAACUACGUGCCAGCAGCCGCGGUAAUACAGAGGGUGCGAGCGUUGUCCGGAAUUACUGGGCAUAAAGGGCGCGUAGGCGGCCCGAUAAGUCGGGGGUGAAAUUCAGCGGCUCAACCGCUGGGACUGCCUUCGAGACUGUCAGGCUCGAGCACGGUAGAGGCUGGCGGAGUUCCCGGUGUAGCGGUGGAAUGCGUAGAGAUCGGGAAGAACAUCGGUGGCGAAGGCGGCCAGCUGGGCCGUUGCUGACGCUGAGGCGCGACAGCGUGGGGAGCAAACAGGAUUAGAUACCCUGGUAGUCCACGCCGUAAACGAUGGGUACUAGGCGUCGGGGGGA
RNAcentral lists this ribosomal RNA (465 nucleotides) under uncultured bacterium. RNAcentral describes it as "bacterial SSU rRNA". It matches the Rfam family "Bacterial small subunit ribosomal RNA", at positions 355 to 831 of the family's 1533-position model. The record is from RNAcentral.